Molecule: transfer RNA, 55 nt
Filed under: Ascaris lumbricoides (common roundworm)
Lineage: Eukaryota; Metazoa; Nematoda; Chromadorea; Rhabditida; Ascarididae
Also listed under: 4 other names
Description: tRNA-Thr
Source: RNAcentral
GCCAUGUUAGUUUAUAUGAAAAUGUGUGAUUUGUAAUCGUGGGUAGUUUGUGGCU